CGUUAAACGAAAGUUAAGCUCCCAACCCAAUGUGAACGUUACCAAACUGUUGCCUCGGCGGGGUCACGCCCCGGGUGCGUCGCAGCCCCGGAACCAGGCGCCCGCCGGAGGAACCAACCAAACUCUUUCUGUAGUCCCCUCGCGGACGUAUUUCUUACAGCUCUGAGCAAAAAUUCAAAAUGAAUCAAAACUUUCAACAACGGAUCUCUUGGUUCUGGCAUCGAUGAAGAACGCAGCGAAAUGCGAUAAGUAAUGUGAAUUGCAGAAUUCAGUGAAUCAUCGAAUCUUUGAACGCACAUUGCGCCCGCCAGUAUUCUGGCGGGCAUGCCUGUCCGAGCGUCAUUUCAACCCUCGAACCCCUCCGGGGGAUCGGCGUUGGGGAUCGGGACCCCUCACACGGGUGCCGGCCCCGAAAUACAGUGGCGGUCUCGCCGCAGCCUCUCCUGCGCAGUAGUUUGCACAACUCGCACCGGGAGCGCGGCGCGUCCACGUCCGUAAAACACCCAACUUUCUGAAAUGUUGACCUCGGAUCAGGUAGGAAUACCCGCUGAACUUAAGCAUAUCAAUAUCCGGAAGGAA
This 579-nucleotide ribosomal RNA is filed under the name Trichoderma asperellum. Its description in RNAcentral is "eukaryotic LSU rRNA". The stretch from base 189 to 342 matches the Rfam family "5.8S ribosomal RNA". The record is from RNAcentral. Lineage: Eukaryota; Fungi; Ascomycota; Sordariomycetes; Hypocreales; Hypocreaceae.